UGCAACUCAGCUUUGUGGAAGUGCUUCUCUAAAGAACUUCCCCCAAUUUAAGAUGAUCUUAAUUUGCUUACUUGUUUACUGUCCAUUCAGCUGCUCUAAAAUGUGAGCUCCAAAUCAGGGACCAUGUCUGGUUGGUUACCCAUUUCCUGGGACCUAGAACGGGCCUAGCUCAGAGCAGGUGCUCACUAUUGAUGGAAUGCAUGUUGAAAGAAUGCAUGAAUCUCAUCUCCUUUUGUGGGUGAAAAUCUCAUCCUAUUCUCACUCCUGAUUAACUUUCUUUCUUUUUUUUUUUUCAAAACGGAGCCCUGAUCUGUCACCCAGGCUGGAGUGCAAUGGUGCCAUCUCAGCUCGCUGCAACCUCUGCCUUCUGGAUUAAAGCAAUUCUCCUGCCUCAGCCUCCCGGGUAGCUGGGAUUACAGAGUCUUCUCUGUAACCUCUGCAGGAAUUUGGGGAGCUAUGCGGGAUCUCCAUAAAAUGAGCUCCAGAAAGACACAUGUGUGCGCGCACACACACACACACACACACACACACUCACACAUGUACCGCACCACAAUUGAAUCUGUUUAUUUGGGACCCAUGAUUAUUUUCAACAAACACUUCUGAGAAAUAAUCUGAACACUUAAUUGGAUGCAAAAGAGGGAGUCCUUGAGCAGAAGGAAGCAAGUUGCCUGAGAUUCUUCAAAGCCCGCAGCCCUUUUGGAGGUAGAAGUUGCUGGUCCCAUCUUGCUCACAAUCCUCCAAAGUUUGAAAGUUAUUUUCCAGGAGACUUGGCUUGCACUGAGAGCUGCCCUCCCACCCUCUCUCCAAAUUUCCUCUUGGGGGUAGCCUAACAAGGUGCUGUCACAGACCCUUGUCGGCCACGAUGACCCCACCCAGACCAUCCCUCUGCUGUUUCACUCUUUG
Homo sapiens (human) is the source of this 903-nucleotide long non-coding RNA. Ensembl annotates it as long intergenic non-protein coding RNA 2614. Lineage: Eukaryota; Metazoa; Chordata; Mammalia; Primates; Hominidae. The record is from Ensembl.